This 441-nucleotide ribosomal RNA is filed under the name uncultured bacterium. RNAcentral's name for it is "partial 16S ribosomal RNA". It matches the Rfam family "Bacterial small subunit ribosomal RNA", at positions 338 to 795 of the family's 1533-position model. The record is from RNAcentral.
CCUACGGGAGGCAGCAGUGGGGGAUAUUGCACAAUGGGGGGAACCCUGAUGCAGCGACGCCGCGUGGGUGAAGGAGUGCUUCGGCAUGUAAAGCCCUAUCGGCAGGGAAGAAGCAAGACGGUACCUGACUAAGAAGCCCCGGCUAACUACGUGCCAGCAGCCGCGGUAAUACGUAGGGGGCGAGCGUUAUCCGGAUUCCCUGGGUGGAAAGGGAGCGUAGACGGCCAAGCAAGCCAGGGGGGAAAGCCCGGGGCCCAACCCCGGGACUGCCCUUGGAACUGCAUGGCUGGAGUGCGGGAGGGGCAGGCGGAAUGCCUGGUGUAGCGGUGAAAUGCGUAGAUAUCAGGAGGAACACCGGCGGCGAAGGCGGCCUGCUGGACCGCGACUGACGUUGAGGCUCGAAAGCGUGGGGAGCGAACAGGAUUAGAUACCCCAGUAGUC